Molecule: ribosomal RNA, 497 nt
Filed under: uncultured bacterium
Lineage: Bacteria
Description: partial 16S ribosomal RNA
Rfam family: Bacterial small subunit ribosomal RNA
Source: RNAcentral
GAUGAACGCUGGCGGCGUGCCUAAUACAUGCAAGUCGAGCGAACAGACGAGGAGCUUGCUCCUCUGACGUUAGCGGCGGACGGGUUAGUAACACGUGGAUAACCUACCUAUAAGACUGGGAUAACUUCGGGAAACCGGAGCUAAUACCGGAUAAUAUAUUGAACCGCAUGGUUCAAUAGUGAAAGACGGUUUUGCUGUCACUUAUAGAUGGAUCCGCGCCGCAUUAGCUAGUUGGUAAGGUAACGGCUUACCAAGGCAACGAUGCGUAGCCGACCUGAGAGGGUGAUCAGCCACACUGGAACUGAGACACGGUCCAGACUCCUACGGGAGGCAGCAGUAGGGAAUCUUCCGCAAUGGGCGAAAGCCUGACGGAGCAACGCCGCGUGAGUGAUGAAGGUCUUCGGAUCGUAAAACUCUGUUAUUAGGGAAGAACAAAUGUGUAAGUAAAUAUGCACGUAUUGACGGUACCUAAUCAGAAAGCAACGGCUAACUACGUG